This 496-nucleotide ribosomal RNA is filed under the name uncultured bacterium. RNAcentral describes it as "partial 16S ribosomal RNA". It matches the Rfam family "Bacterial small subunit ribosomal RNA", at positions 28 to 507 of the family's 1533-position model. The record is from RNAcentral.
GAUGAACGCUGGCGGCGUGCCUAAUACAUGCAAGUCGAGCGAACAGACGAGGAGCUUGCUCCUCUGACGUUAGCGGCGGACGGGUGAGUAACACGUGGAUAACCUACCUAUAAGACUGGGAUAACUUCGGGAAACCGGAGCUAAUACCGGAUAAUAUAUUGAACCGCAUGGUACAAUAGUGAAAGACGGUUUUGCUGUCACUUAUAGAUGGAUCCGCGCCGCAUUAGCUAGUUGGUAAGGUAACGGCUUACCAAGGCAACGAUGCGUAGCCGACCUGAGAGGGUGAUCGCCCAACUGGGAACUGAGACACGGUCCGGCCUCCUAGGGGAGGCAGCAGUAGGGAACCUUCGGCAAGGGGCGAAGCUUGACGGAGCAACGCCGCGUGAGUGAUGAAGGUCUUCGGAUCGUAAAACUCUGUUAUUAGGGAAGAACAAAUGUGUAAGUAACUAUGCACGUCUUGACGGUACCUAAUCAGAAAGCCACGGCUAACUACGUG